This 1031-nucleotide long non-coding RNA is filed under the name Homo sapiens (human). RNAcentral's name for it is "long intergenic non-protein coding RNA 710". The record is from RNAcentral. Lineage: Eukaryota; Metazoa; Chordata; Mammalia; Primates; Hominidae.
GGGCGCUCUGGGCCUAGCUCAGAGGACAUGCUCCUGAGGCUAGCUAUUUUUCUGCUACUACUCUGGCUAAGAGAGACAUGUAAGGGCUGGAUGUAAACUCCCAGAGGGCACCUCCUGGGCUAGAGAAGAUGCAGCAUGAGCUCAGGAAUUCAACACAACACGAAAUAAUCAACAAAUUCGGGGAAUGUUAAUCUGACCAUCACCAGUUACAAAUGAUGUUUCAUGCUACCUUCUAUUCCUGCCUUCAUAAAUCAAGGAAAAGAAAAAGAGAACAUAUAUCCCCCUACCUUUUGAUUUCCAACAGUCUACUGAGAGGCCAAGAUUAUUUGCAGGGAAAGAAAAGGGGAAUGCCAUCCCCACCCUCUCGCAGCUACGUGCCAGUUCCAGAGCACCUGUUCCCCUCUACUUUGAAAAGGUCAAAAUGUUUUGCCAGUAACUCCCAAAUCAUCUACAGCCAAGGAGAAAAGUGUUUCAAGACAGAGGUGCUCAAUGGUAUCAAAUACUGCCAACAGACCAAGUAAUACAUGCAUUGAAGUGUCUACUGGAUCUAGCUAUAUGAAUUUUUAAUUUAGGACACUUAGGCCAUACUGAAGCAAGGUGACAAAAUGAAUAGCUACAAUGUCUCGUGAAUCUUGGGUUUCCAUUCACCCUGGUAUUCAAGAGAAAUUCUUGCAUCAUGGAAGUUGCAGUUGGAUAGGACUUUCUCAGCUGAACACUGUCAUCUGCCAGAGCUUCAGGCAAGAACCCAGAACAGAUGAAACCCCAGACAUGACAAAAUAAGCCAAAGAAUACCAGGCCAAGGUGUGAAAGGCCAGAUGAGAACAAGCAGCGUACACGAUUCUGUUGCCAACAGAUCUCCCCUAACAGUGUCGUGCACCAAAUUUCCACAGUGAAUGUCAGGAAAAAAUGGCAAUUGAGGUGGGUGGUCAAAAGAGAAGCACAGUCUAUGAUGAAGUCACCCCAGAGAAGUCCUUUUUCCGUUUUCUCCUGAGAAAUUACCAGAAGAAAUUAAAAUCCUUUUGAGUAUUGCA